RNAcentral lists this ribosomal RNA (1460 nucleotides) under Lacticaseibacillus casei. RNAcentral describes it as "Lactobacillus casei 16S ribosomal RNA". It matches the Rfam family "Bacterial small subunit ribosomal RNA". The record is from RNAcentral. Lineage: Bacteria; Bacillati; Bacillota; Bacilli; Lactobacillales; Lactobacillaceae.
GGCGGCGUGCUAAUACAUGCAAGUCGAACGAGUUCUCGUUGAUGAUCGGUGCUUGCACCGAGAUUCAACAUGGAACGAGUGGCGGACGGGUGAGUAACACGUGGGUAACCUGCCCUUAAGUGGGGGAUAACAUUUGGAAACAGAUGCUAAUACCGCAUAGAUCCAAGAACCGCAUGGUUCUUGGCUGAAAGAUGGCGUAAGCUAUCGCUUUUGGAUGGACCCGCGGCGUAUUAGCUAGUUGGUGAGGUAAUGGCUCACCAAGGCGAUGAUACGUAGCCGAACUGAGAGGUUGAUCGGCCACAUUGGGACUGAGACACGGCCCAAACUCCUACGGGAGGCAGCAGUAGGGAAUCUUCCACAAUGGACGCAAGUCUGAUGGAGCAACGCCGCGUGAGUGAAGAAGGCUUUCGGGUCGUAAAACUCUGUUGUUGGAGAAGAAUGGUCGGCAGAGUAACUGUUGUCGGCGUGACGGUAUCCAACCAGAAAGCCACGGCUAACUACGUGCCAGCAGCCGCGGUAAUACGUAGGUGGCAAGCGUUAUCCGGAUUUAUUGGGCGUAAAGCGAGCGCAGGCGGUUUUUUAAGUCUGAUGUGAAAGCCCUCGGCUUAACCGAGGAAGCGCAUCGGAAACUGGGAAACUUGAGUGCAGAAGAGGACAGUGGAACUCCAUGUGUAGCGGUGAAAUGCGUAGAUAUAUGGAAGAACACCAGUGGCGAAGGCGGCUGUCUGGUCUGUAACUGACGCUGAGGCUCGAAAGCAUGGGUAGCGAACAGGAUUAGAUACCCUGGUAGUCCAUGCCGUAAACGAUGAAUGCUAGGUGUUGGAGGGUUUCCGCCCUUCAGUGCCGCAGCUAACGCAUUAAGCAUUCCGCCUGGGGAGUACGACCGCAAGGUUGAAACUCAAAGGAAUUGACGGGGGCCCGCACAAGCGGUGGAGCAUGUGGUUUAAUUCGAAGCAACGCGAAGAACCUUACCAGGUCUUGACAUCUUUUGAUCACCUGAGAGAUCAGGUUUCCCCUUCGGGGGCAAAAUGACAGGUGGUGCAUGGUUGUCGUCAGCUCGUGUCGUGAGAUGUUGGGUUAAGUCCCGCAACGAGCGCAACCCUUAUGACUAGUUGCCAGCAUUUAGUUGGGCACUCUAGUAAGACUGCCGGUGACAAACCGGAGGAAGGUGGGGAUGACGUCAAAUCAUCAUGCCCCUUAUGACCUGGGCUACACACGUGCUACAAUGGAUGGUACAACGAGUUGCGAGACCGCGAGGUCAAGCUAAUCUCUUAAAGCCAUUCUCAGUUCGGACUGUAGGCUGCAACUCGCCUACACGAAGUCGGAAUCGCUAGUAAUCGCGGAUCAGCACGCCGCGGUGAAUACGUUCCCGGGCCUUGUACACACCGCCCGUCACACCAUGAGAGUUUGUAACACCCGAAGCCGGUGGCGUAACCCUUUUAGGGAGCGAGCCGUCUAAG